UGAAACACCAGUUCCUGUAUAAUCACCAAAGUUAAGCAACAUUCUGCCUGGUUGGUAUUUAGCUGGGUGACCAUUUGGGAAUACCAAGUGCUGUAA
Non-coding RNA from Acanthosepion pharaonis, 96 nucleotides. The record is from the annotation of a GenBank genome assembly. Lineage: Eukaryota; Metazoa; Mollusca; Cephalopoda; Sepiida; Sepiidae.